CCUACGGGGGGCAGCAGUGGGGAAUAUUGGACAAUGGGGGGAACCCUGAUCCAGCCAUGCCGCGUGUGUGAAGAAGGCCCUCGGGUUGUAAAGCACUUUCAGUGAGGAAGAACGCCUGGUGGUUAAUACCCAUCAGGAAAGACAUCACUCACAGAAGAAGCACCGGCUAACUCCGUGCCAGCAGCCGCGGUAAUACGGAGGGUGCGAGCGUUAAUCGGAAUUACUGGGCGUAAAGCGCGCGUAGGUGGCUUGAUAAGCCGGUUGUGAAAGCCCCGGGCUCAACCUGGGAACGGCAUCCGGAACUGUCAAUCUAGAGUGCAGGAGAGGAAGGUAGAAUUCCCGGUGUAGCGGUGAAAUGCGUAGAGAUCGGGAGGAAUACCAGUGGCGAAGGCGGCCUUCUGGACUGACACUGACACUGAGGUGCGAAAGCGUGGGUAGCAAACAGGAUUAGAUACCCGAGUAGUC
RNAcentral lists this ribosomal RNA (465 nucleotides) under Vreelandella stevensii. RNAcentral describes it as "partial 16S ribosomal RNA". It matches the Rfam family "Bacterial small subunit ribosomal RNA", at positions 338 to 795 of the family's 1533-position model. Lineage: Bacteria; Pseudomonadati; Pseudomonadota; Gammaproteobacteria; Oceanospirillales; Halomonadaceae. The record is from RNAcentral.